Molecule: ribosomal RNA, 407 nt
Filed under: uncultured bacterium
Lineage: Bacteria
Description: partial 16S ribosomal RNA
Rfam family: Bacterial small subunit ribosomal RNA
Source: RNAcentral
AUUGAACGCUGGCGGCAGGCCUAACACAUGCAAGUCGAGCGGAGCGGCGGACGGGUGAGUAAUGCCUAGGAAUCUGCCUGGUAGUGUGGGAUAACGUCCGGCAACGGGCGCUAAUACCGCAUACUAUCACAUUAGCCUAGGUCGGAUUAGCUAGUUGGGGGGGUAAAGGCCUACCAAGGCGACGAUCCGUAACUGGCUGGAGAGGAUGAUCAGUCACACUGGACUGGGGAAACGGUCAAGACUCCUACGGAAGGCAGCAGGGGGGAAUAUUGGCCAAUGGGCGAAAGCCGGAUCCAGCAAGGCGGCGUGGGGGAAGAAGGUUUUCGGAUUGUAAAGCACUUUAAUUUGGGAGGCGUUACCAAAAGAAAAAGCACCGGCUAACUACGUGCCAGCAGCCGCGGUAAUAC